Long non-coding RNA from Erigeron canadensis, 394 nucleotides. RefSeq lists it as uncharacterized. The record is from RefSeq and is a predicted model, not a curated record. The transcript is spliced from 2 exons. Lineage: Eukaryota; Viridiplantae; Streptophyta; Magnoliopsida; Asterales; Asteraceae.
AUGAAGAUCAUUUUGUUGAGCCUAGUAGCCAUAUAGUGCCAAAGAGCCAAGUUAAGGAGUUGGUAGUAGCCAAGAGAGGAAUUUGAUCAAGUGAAAGUGUUUGAAGUGAAGUAGUGAUUGAAGGUAAUUAGGCCAUCCAUGGAAGAAUGGGACUUUAGGUAGAAGCUUAGUUUAACCCUCUCAAACUUUUGGCUCUUGAUACAUGUGUAUUUUGAUGAAAAUGUUGUUUAUGAUGUAUUUUGAGUCUUGACUAUUAUAGUGGGUUGAAGUAUAAGUCAUUUUGGAGUCAAAUUACCCAUUUUGUCACUUUGGGUAAAUGCGGGCGAGUGACCCGUUUGGUCGUUUUAAUGUACAUUUCAAUGGUUAAAGUUUCAGAUCUGCUAUUAUGUUGUAA